GUUUAAUACCACAAGACACCUCAGUCUGGAUUGUUGCAUUACAGUACAAAUAAAAAACAGAAACAAAACCACAUCUGCAUCAUACGAGGCGCAGCUCCUGGAGGAAAACACUCACCUGCUCCAUCCCGUAUGACUGAACUGAGCUUGGAACUGAAGAGGACAUCCACGUGGUUCAAGAUGAAUUCCACAACCACUGACUGGAUGCGCACCUCCAUGAAGGCAGCGGUCCCACUGAAGCAGGCAGACUCUAUCUGCUUUGAUCUGAAGAGAAGGCAGAGGAAAUGAAACACAAACAGCCAGAAGAACACUUGAAGAUGUGCUCCUUUUGGCAGGUUUCACAGGAAGAAAAGAGCACAUUGGCUGGAGGAAAGGAAGAUCUUUCUCACCUGCUGAAAGCUGUGAUUUUGCUGGAGAACAGCUAUCUGUGUUCUAUAAAUAUGAAAACUCAUCUUGUAUAGAAAUGGGGGAAAAAAGCCAAAGAGUACCUCAGG
Molecule: long non-coding RNA, 491 nt
Organism: Strigops habroptila (Kakapo)
Lineage: Eukaryota; Metazoa; Chordata; Aves; Psittaciformes; Psittacidae
Exons: 3
Source: RefSeq, a predicted model, not a curated record